Molecule: ribosomal RNA, 253 nt
Filed under: uncultured bacterium
Lineage: Bacteria
Description: partial 16S ribosomal RNA
Rfam family: Bacterial small subunit ribosomal RNA
Source: RNAcentral
GACGUAGGAUGCAAGCGUUGUCCGGAAUUAUUGGGCGUAAAGAGCGCGGAGGUGGUUUUUUAAGUCUGGUGUUAAAGCCCGAAGCUCAACUUCGGCAUGGCAUUGGAAACUGGGUAGCUAGAGUGUGGUAGAGGUAUCGGGAAUUCCUGGUGUAGCGGUGAAAUGCGUAGAUAUCAGGAGGAACACCGGCGGCGAAAGCGCGAUACUGGGCCAUAACUGACGCUGAGGAACGAAAGCCAGGGGAGCGAAAGGG